AUUGAACGCUGGCGGCAGGCCUAACACAUGCAAGUCGAGCGGAUGAAGGGGGCUUGCUCCUGGAUUCAGCGGCGGACGGGUGAGUAAUGCCUAUGAAUCUGCCUGGUAGUGGGGGAUAACGUCCGGAUACGGGCGCUAAUACCGCAUACGUCCUGAUGUAGAAAGUGGGGGAUCUUCGGACCUCACGCUAUCAUAUGAGCCUAGGUCGGAUUAGCUAGUUGGUGGGGUAAAGGCCUACCAAGGCGACGAUCCGUAACUGGUCUGAGAGGAUGAUCAGUCACACUGGAACUGGAACACGGUCCAGAAUCCUACGAGAGGCAGCAGUGGGGGAUAUUGGACGAUGGGCGAAAGCCUGAACCAUGCAUGCCGCGUGUGUGAAGAAGGUAGUCGGAUUGUAAAGCACUUUAAGUUGGGAGGAAGGGAAGUAAGUUAAUCCCUUGCUGUUAUGACGUUACCCACAGAAUAAGCCCCGGCUAACUUCGUG
Molecule: ribosomal RNA, 484 nt
Filed under: uncultured bacterium
Lineage: Bacteria
Description: partial 16S ribosomal RNA
Rfam family: Bacterial small subunit ribosomal RNA
Source: RNAcentral